GCAAACACAAUAAGCUCUUGAUAAAAAUAACCAGGAAAAACGGUGUUACAUAUUAAAAUAUUGCUACUGUAUAUAAAAUCUCGUCCCUUUGAAUCCAGUCUAUACUUCUAUAAUGUUCAAACAUGCUUUCAAACUUCCAACCUUCAUUGAACCUGUCCACAUCGCAAGGAACAUGUGACCUGGUAAAGAUGGCAAAAAUUGUUGGGAGCAGUAGGUGCAAAAGUUAGAGCUUCGGCAGAUGUUUCGAAAACAAACAGAAAAUUGCAAGGAAGACAUAAAGAAAACAAAACCAAUAAAGCAGAAAAUGUAUAAAAACUAGCUAUCUUCUGCUAAAACUCACAUUUAAGUUACACAAAGUUGUGUACGAUUGUU
Non-coding RNA from Schizosaccharomyces pombe (fission yeast), 372 nucleotides. The record is from the annotation of a GenBank genome assembly. NCBI's taxonomy places the organism in Eukaryota, Fungi, Ascomycota, Schizosaccharomycetes, Schizosaccharomycetales, Schizosaccharomycetaceae.